Molecule: ribosomal RNA, 254 nt
Filed under: uncultured bacterium
Lineage: Bacteria
Description: partial 16S ribosomal RNA
Rfam family: Bacterial small subunit ribosomal RNA
Source: RNAcentral
UACGUAGGGGGCAAGCGUUGUCCGGAUUUAUUGGGCGUAAAGAGCUCGUAGGCGGUUCAGUAAGUCAGGUGUGAAAUCUUUGGGCUUAACCCAAAGCGUGCACUUGAUACUGCUGUGACUUGAGUUCGGUAGGGGAGUGGGGAAUUCCUAGUGUAGCGGUGAAAUGCGCAGAUAUUAGGAGGAACACCGGUGGCGAAGGCGCCACUCUGGGCCGAAACUGACGCUGAGGAGCGAAAGCGUGGGUAGCAAACAGG